Molecule: ribosomal RNA, 751 nt
Filed under: Priestia aryabhattai
Lineage: Bacteria; Bacillati; Bacillota; Bacilli; Caryophanales; Bacillaceae
Description: bacterial SSU rRNA
Rfam family: Bacterial small subunit ribosomal RNA
Source: RNAcentral
UCGAGCGGAACUGAGAAGCUUGCUUCUAUGACGUUAGCGGCGGACGGGUGAGUAACACGUGGGCAACCUGCCUGUAAGACUGGGAUAACUUCGGGAAACCGAAGCUAAUACCGGAUAGGAUCUUCUCCUUCAUGGGAGAUGAUUGAAAGAUGGUUUCGGCUAUCACUUACAGAUGGGCCCGCGGUGCAUUAGCUAGUUGGUGAGGUAACGGCUCACCAAGGCAACGAUGCAUAGCCGACCUGAGAGGGUGAUCGGCCACACUGGGACUGAGACACGGCCCAGACUCCUACGGGAGGCAGCAGUAGGGAAUCUUCCGCAAUGGACGAAAGUCUGACGGAGCAACGCCGCGUGAGUGAUGAAGGCUUUCGGGUCGUAAAACUCUGUUGUUAGGGAAGAACAAGUACGAGAGUAACUGCUCGUACCUUGACGGUACCUAACCAGAAAGCCACGGCUAACUACGUGCCAGCAGCCGCGGUAAUACGUAGGUGGCAAGCGUUAUCCGGAAUUAUUGGGCGUAAAGCGCGCGCAGGCGGUUUCUUAAGUUCUGAUGUGAAAGCCCACGGCUCAACCGUGGAGGGUCAUUGGAAACUGGGGAACUUGAGUGCAGAAGAGAAAAGCGGAAUUCCACGUGUAGCGGUGAAAUGCGUAGAGAUGUGGAGGAACACCAGUGGCGAAGCGGGUUUUUGGUCUGUAACUGACGCUGAGGCGCGAAAGCGUGGGGGAGCAAACAGGGAUUUAGAUACCCUGGGUA